Molecule: ribosomal RNA, 399 nt
Filed under: uncultured bacterium
Lineage: Bacteria
Description: bacterial SSU rRNA
Rfam family: Bacterial small subunit ribosomal RNA
Source: RNAcentral
AUUAAACGCUGGCGGCAUGCCUUACACAUGCAAGUCGAACGGCAGCACGGGGGCAACCCUGGUGGCGAGUGGCGAACGGGUGAGUAAAGCAUCGGAACGUGCCCUGGAGUGGGGGAUAACGUAGCGAAAGUUACGCUAAUACCGCAUAUUCUGUGAGCAGGAAAGCAGGGGAUCGCAAGACCUUGCGCUCUGGGAGCGGCCGAUGUCGGAUUAGCUAGUUGGUGGGGUAAAGGCCUACCAAGGCGACGAUCCGUAGCGGGUCUGAGAGGAUGAUCCGCCACACUGGGACUGAGACACGGCCCAGACUCCUACGGGAGGCAGCAGUGGGGAAUUUUGGACAAUGGGCGAAAGCCUGAUCCAGCCAUGCCGCGUGAGAGAAGAAGGCCUCGGUUGUAAGAC